Molecule: ribosomal RNA, 325 nt
Filed under: Escherichia coli
Lineage: Bacteria; Pseudomonadati; Pseudomonadota; Gammaproteobacteria; Enterobacterales; Enterobacteriaceae
Description: partial 23S ribosomal RNA
Rfam family: Bacterial large subunit ribosomal RNA
Source: RNAcentral
AGGGGAGCGUUCUGUAAGCCUGCGAAGGUGUGCUGUGAGGCAUGCUGGAGGUAUCAGAAGUGCGAAUGCUGACAUAAGUAACGAUAAAGCGGGUGAAAAGCCCGCUCGCCGGAAGACCAAGGGUUCCUGUCCAACGUUAAUCGGGGCAGGGUGAGUCGACCCCUAAGGCGAGGCCGAAAGGCGUAGUCGAUGGGAAACAGGUUAAUAUUCCUGUACUUGGUGUUACUGCGAAGGGGGGACGGAGAAGGCUAUGUUGGCCGGGCGACGGUUGUCCCGGUUUAAGCGUGUAGGCUGGUUUUCCAGGCAAAUCCGGAAAAUCAAGGCU